Molecule: unclassified non-coding RNA, 117 nt
Organism: Macaca fascicularis (crab-eating macaque)
Lineage: Eukaryota; Metazoa; Chordata; Mammalia; Primates; Cercopithecidae
Rfam family: Metazoan signal recognition particle RNA
About the family: The signal recognition particle (SRP) is a universally conserved ribonucleoprotein. It is involved in the co-translational targeting of proteins to membranes.
Source: Ensembl
GCCAGGCAUGGUGGCUAAUGCCUGUAAUCCCAGCUACUCAGGAGGCUGAGAUGGGAGGAUCACUUGAGCUCAGGAGUUUGAGGCCAACCUGGGCAACAAAGUGAGAUCUCAUCUCCA